AGGCGGACGGGCGGGAAGGUGAGCAACAGGUGUUUACCUCAGAGCACGAGAAGAAGCGGAGCGCUGCGAGGGAAGGACAGAAGGCGGAAUCCAAGCAGCAUCGGGACCGAGGUUUCAGGAUCUGCUGCCGAAGAUGGAAGAAGCGGUGUGGAGAACCGGGAGGCAGGAGCGAAGAUGAAGAGGAAGCAGAAGCCUGCAGAUGCGGGGGGGAAGGAGAGAGGCACCCUGGGCAAAGCAUCUCCCUGCUAGCAGGGGCAUAGUCAAAUUGGAGUUGAGCGUUGCCGGCACCUUGGGUGACCAGGCCGGCUUUGUGCUGGGCGACCUCCCUGUAAGCAGGGCUCCGGUCUUUGCUGUAGUUGUAGUUGGCCUUUUGCCUUCUUGCUCCUUUGGCUGCCUGGGGAGCGUGGCCCCCUGUACGGAGGGCGAGAGCCACCUCUCCGCACCCGAGUGGGAAAUGGAGCUCGCUGGACCCCAGGGCCGCCCUGUAAGCAGGGUAGUGCCUUUCCCUGCCCCUCCUCCUCCGGCCCCUCAGUGCUGUUGCCUGCUGGUGGCCUGUUGAUGCGCCAGCCCUGUACUCGGGGUGCGUGUCGUGGCGUUUGGCCUUUGUCCUUUCUCAAGUAGCCCCUUGUCACGUUGAGGUCUGUGGCCUCCGUGCUGCCCGGGGAUGGGUCCCAGGCUCUUGCCUGUUGCUCGUAGGUGUGGGUUUAUUCCCAGGGCUUGGCUGCGCUGCGUUGUCCUUCCCUUCUGGAAAGUUGCAUCUGUGUGUGUGUUCCCCUUCCUUUCCUUGUUUGUGUUUGUGGAGUGACUGAGCACGUGUGCUUUCCCUUUAGGCCUCCUCAAAGAUUGCUGCAGCUUAGCUGUGACUUCCCAGGGGGGAAUGGAGGACUUUGGUGCAUGCCGCAUGAGGGGUGUUCCCUCUCACCUUAGUCCUGCGAGCGCAGCGGAUGUCCUGUGUGUCCUGUCUCCUUUAUGCUUAGUAGAGAUCUGAGCCACGUGGUAGUUGUGUGGCCAAGGCCACCCUGUAUCCAGGGCUUGGGCCUGUCCUUGCAUGGCCGCCUGUUCUGCUGGCGGCGUGACAGCCCUGUACUCGGGGUGCAUGUCACAAGCCCUCUGUUCCCCUGAGCAGCCCGUCCCCUGUACCCCUAUGCUCCCUGUAAUCAGGGCUGGGGAGGCUGCAGCGCUGCAGCCGGCUGCUUUAGCCAUCCAGCUGGUGGGAGUGACCCCUCCCUGUCCCGUCAGAGGGUGCAGGUUGAGGUGCUGAUUGUGUGUGGGGUGACCUCCCCGCUCGGUGGGUUGAGGUUGCUCUCUGGGCUCCCAAAGAUGUGCUGAUGUUGUGCUGCCGGGCGGGCCAGCCUGUAACUCAGGCAUUGGCGGGAGCCACGUGCUCCGUGGGGCUUCUUGGAGAUAGAUGGUGAGGCGUGGGGCGCCGUCCUGUCGGCAGGGCCGUGCGUGCCCCCUGUGCUUGGUGAGCUGUGUUCUGAGAGAGAGAGACCCCCUGUAGUCAGGCGGGAAUGUGGCCCCGGCCUUUCAGAGGCACGGGGCCGCGAGAUGUGGGGCUGGGCUUGCGCCCUCCCUGGACUUGGGGCUGGCAUCCCGACCGCGGCCUUUGGCCGUGUUGCCCCGCUGCCUGGCGGCUCAGAGUUGCUCCUGCUGCUGGGGGGGAAACCGAGCUCUGUGGCUCCAGGGGUGUUGUCUGCCCGCCUGUAGUCAGGGUCUGGGCGUGCGAGCCUCUAUGCUCUGCUGGCAGCCCGUGUGGGGUGACCGCCCUGUUAGCGGGCGGCGGGUCAAAGCGCCCCCGACUGGGAGAGAAGGAGCCUCCCGCGGCCUUAGGGAUGGGGCUGCCCUGUAACUCAGGGAGCGGCUGUGCCCCGCAGUCCCAGGCCCUUUGCCAUGGAGACAGCGGCUGAGGGUCCCCUGUAAGCAGGGAAGCAGACUCCUUUGCCGCUGCUUUUAGUGUGCCCAGCUGCAUUUGCCCAGUCUGCCCGCCUCUGCGAUCCCCUGCAGCGCCGGCUGGAGCCUCUACCGUGCGCCCUUGAGGAUCUGCUGCCGAAGAUGGAAGAAGCGGUGUGGAGAACCGGGAGGCAGGAGCGAAGAUGAAGAGGAAGCAGAAGCCUGCAGAUGCGGGGGGGAAGGAGAGAGGCACCCUGGGCAAAGCAUCUCCCUGCUAGCAGGGGCAUAGUCAAAUUGGAGUUGAGCGUUGCCGGCACCUUGGGUGACCAGGCCGGCUUUGUGCUGGGCGACCUCCCUGUAAGCAGGGCUCCGGUCUUUGCUGUAGUUGUAGUUGGCCUUUUGCCUUCUUGCUCCUUUGGCUGCCUGGGGAGCGUGGCCCCCUGUACGGAGGGCGAGAGCCACCUCUCCGCACCCGAGUGGGAAAUGGAGCUCGCUGGACCCCAGGGCCGCCCUGUAAGCAGGGUAGUGCCUUUCCCUGCCCCUCCUCCUCCGGCCCCUCAGUGCUGUUGCCUGCUGGUGGCCUGUUGAUGUGCCAGCCCUGUACUUGUAUGUCUGUCAAUUGGCAUGGAGCCCUCUGUCCCCCAAGCGGCCUACUGCCCCUAUGCUCCCUGUAAUCAGGGCUGGGGAGGCUGCUGCGCUGCAGCCGGCUGCUUUAGCCAUCCAGCUGGUGGGAGUGACCCCUCCCUGUCCCGUCAGAGGGUGCAGGUUGAGGUGCUGAUUGUGUGUGGGGUGACCUCCCCGCUCGGUGGGUUGAGGUUGCUCUCUGGGCUCCCAAAGAUGUGCUGAUGUUGUGCUGCCGGGCGGGCCAGCCUGUAACUCAGGCAUUGGCGGGAGCCACGUGCUCCGUGGGGCUUCUUGGAGAUAGAUGGUGAGGCGUGGGGCGCCGUCCUGUCGGCAGGGCCGUGCGUGCCCCCUGUGCUUGGUGAGCUGUGUUCUGAGAGAGAGAGACCCCCUGUAAGAGACCCCCUGUAGUCAGGCGGGAAUGUGGCCCCGGCCUUUCAGAGGCACGGGGCCGCGAGAUGUGGGGCUGGGCUUGCGCCCUCCCUGGACUUGGGGCUGGCAUCCCGACCGCGGCCUUUGGCCGUGUUGCCCCGCUGCCUGGCGGCUCAGAGUUGCUCCUGCUGCUGGGGGGGAAACCGAGCUCUGUGGCUCCAGGGGUGUUGUCUGCCCGCCUGUAGUCAGGGUCUGGGCGUGCGAGCCUCUAUGCUCUGCUGGCAGCCCGUGUGGGGUGACCGCCCUGUUAGCGGGCGGCGGGUCAAAGCGCCCCCGACUGGGAGAGAAGGAGCCUCCCGCGGCCUUAGGGAUGGGGCUGCCCUGUAACUCAGGGAGCGGCUGUGCCCCGCAGUCCCAGGCCCUUUGCCAUGGAGACAGCGGCUGAGGGUCCCCUGUAAGCAGGGAAGCAGACUCCUUUGCCGCUGCUUUUAGUGUGCCCAGCUGCAUUUGCCCAGUCUGCCCGCCUCUGCGAUCCCCUGCAGCGCCGGCUGGAGCCUCUACCGUGCGCCCUUGAGGAUCUGCUGCCGAAGAUGGAAGAAGCGGUGUGGAGAACCGGGAGGCAGGAGCGAAGAUGAAGAGGAAGCAGAAGCCUGCAGAUGCGGGGGGGAAGGAGAGAGGCACCCUGGGCAAAGCAUCUCCCUGCUAGCAGGGGCAUAGUCAAAUUGGAGUUGAGCGUUGCCGGCACCUUGGGUGACCAGGCCGGCUUUGUGCUGGGCGACCUCCCUGUAAGCAGGGCUCCGGUCUUUGCUGUAGUUGUAGUUGGCCUUUUGCCUUCUUGCUCCUUUGGCUGCCUGGGGAGCGUGGCCCCCUGUACGGAGGGCGAGAGCCACCUCUCCGCACCCGAGUGGGAAAUGGAGCUCGCUGGACCCCAGGGCCGCCCUGUAAGCAGGGUAGUGCCUUUCCCUGCCCCUCCUCCUCCGGCCCCUCAGUGCUGUUGCCUGCUGGUGGCCUGUUGAUGUGCCAGCCCUGUACUUGUAUGUCUGUCAAUUGGCAUGGAGCCCUCUGUCCCCCAAGCGGCCUACUGCCCCUAUGCUCCCUGUAAUCAGGGCUGGGGAGGCUGCUGCGCUGCAGCCGGCUGCUUUAGCCAUCCAGCUGGUGGGAGUGACCCCUCCCUGUCCCGUCAGAGGGUGCAGGUUGAGGUGCUGAUUGUGUGUGGGGUGACCUCCCCGCUCGGUGGGUUGAGGUUGCUCUCUGGGCUCCCAAAGAUGUGCUGAUGUUGUGCUGCCGGGCGGGCCAGCCUGUAACUCAGGCAUUGGCGGGAGCCACGUGCUCCGUGGGGCUUCUUGGAGAUAGAUGGUGAGGCGUGGGGCGCCGUCCUGUCGGCAGGGCCGUGCGUGCCCCCUGUGCUUGGUGAGCUGUGUUCUGAGAGAGAGAGACCCCCUGUAGUCAGGCGGGAAUGUGGCCCCGGCCUUUCAGAGGCACGGGGCCGCGAGAUGUGGGGCUGGGCUUGCGCCCUCCCUGGACUUGGGGCUGGCAUCCCGACCGCGGCCUUUGGCCGUGUUGCCCCGCUGCCUGGCGGCUCAGAGUUGCUCCUGCUGCUGGGGGGGAAACCGAGCUCUGUGGCUCCAGGGGUGUUGUCUGCCCGCCUGUAGUCAGGGUCUGGGCGUGCGAGCCUCUAUGCUCUGCUGGCAGCCCGUGUGGGGUGACCGCCCUGUUAGCGGGCGGCGGGUCAAAGCGCCCCCGACUGGGAGAGAAGGAGCCUCCCGCGGCCUUAGGGAUGGGGCUGCCCUGUAACUCAGGGAGCGGCUGUGCCCCGCAGUCCCAGGCCCUUUGCCAUGGAGACAGCGGCUGAGGGUCCCCUGUAAGCAGGGAAGCAGACUCCUUUGCCGCUGCUUUUAGUGUGCCCAGCUGCAUUUGCCCAGUCUGCCCGCCUCUGCGAUCCCCUGCAGCGCCGGCUGGAGCCUCCACCGUGCACCCCUGAGGAUCUGCUGCCGAAGAUGGAAGGAGCGGUGUGGAGAACCGGGAGGCAGGAGCGAAGAUGAAGAGGAAGCAGAAGCCUGCAGAUGCGGGGGGGAAGGAGAGAGGCACCCUGGGCAAAGCAUCUCCCUGCUAGCAGGGGCAUAGUCAAAUUGGAGUUGAGCGUUGCCGGCACCUUGGGUGACCAGGCCGGCUUUGUGCUGGGCGACCUCCCUGUAAGCAGGGCUCCGGUCUUUGCUGUAGUUGUAGUUGGCCUUUUGCCUUCUUGCUCCUUUGGCUGCCUGGGGAGCGUGGCCCCCUGUACGGAGGGCGAGAGCCACCUCUCCGCACCCGAGUGGGAAAUGGAGCUCGCUGGACCCCAGGGCCGCCCUGUAAGCAGGGUAGUGCCUUUCCCUGCCCCUCCUCCUCCGGCCCAUCAGUGCUGUUGCCUGCUGGUGGCCUGUUGAUGCGCCAGCCCUGUACUCGGGGUGCGUGUCGUGGCGUUUGGCCUUUGUCCUUUCUCAAGUAGCCCCUUGUCACGUUGAGGUCUGUGGCCUCCGUGCUGCCCGGGGAUGGGUCCCAGGCUCUUGCCUGUUGCUCAUAGGUGUGGGUUUAUUCCCAGGGCUUGGCUGCGCUGCGUUGUCCUUCCCUUCUGGAAAGUUGCAUCUGUGUGUGUGUUCCCCUUCCUUUCCUUGUUUGUGUUUGUGGAGUGACUGAGCACGUGUGCUUUCCCUUUAGGCCUCCUCAAAGAUUGCUGCAGCUUAGCUGUGACUUCCCAGGGGGGAAUGGAGGACUUUGGUGCAUGCCGCAUGAGGGGUGUUCCCUCUCACCUUAGUCCUGCGAGCGCAGCGGAUGUCCUGUGUGUCCUGUCUCCUUUAUGCUUAGUAGAGAUCUGAGCCACGUGGUAGUUGUGUGGCCAAGGCCACCCUGUAUCCAGGGCUUGGGCCUGUCCUUGCAUGGCCGCCUGUUCUGCUGGCGGCGUGACAGCCCUGUACUCGGGGUGCAUGUCACAAGCCCUCUGUUCCCCUGAGCAGCCCGUCCCCUGUACCCCUAUGCUCCCUGUAAUCAGGGCUGGGGAGGCUGCAGCGCUGCAGCCGGCUGCUUUAGCCAUCCAGCUGGUGGGAGUGACCCCUCCCUGUCCCGUCAGAGGGUGCAGGUUGAGGUGCUGAUUGUGUGUGGGGUGACCUCCCCGCUCGGUGGGUUGAGGUUGCUCUCUGGGCUCCCAAAGAUGUGCUGAUGUUGUGCUGCCGGGCGGGCCAGCCUGUAACUCAGGCAUUGGCGGGAGCCACGUGCUCCGUGGGGCUUCUUGGAGAUAGAUGGUGAGGCGUGGGGCGCCGUCCUGUCGGCAGGGCCGUGCGUGCCCCCUGUGCUUGGUGAGCUGUGUUCUGAGAGAGAGAGAGACCCCCUGUAGUCAGGCGGGAAUGUGGCCCCGGCCUUUCAGAGGCACGGGGCCGCGAGAUGUGGGGCUGGGCUUGCGCCCUCCCUGGACUUGGGGCUGGCAUCCCGACCGCGGCCUUUGGCCGUGUUGCCCCACUGCCUGGCGGCUCAGAGUUGCUCCUGCUGCUGGGGGGGAAACCGAGCUCUGUGGCUCCAGGGGUGUUGUCUGCCCGCCUGUAGUCAGGGUCUGGGCGUGCGAGCCUCUAUGCUCUGCUGGCAGCCCGUGUGGGGUGACCGCCCUGUUAGCGGGCGGCGGGUCAAAGCGCCCCCGACUGGGAGAGAAGGAGCCUCCCGCGGCCUUAGGGAUGGGGCUGCCCUGUAACUCAGGGAGCGGCUGUGCCCCGCAGUCCCAGGCCCUUUGCCAUGGAGACAGCGGCUGAGGGUCCCCUGUAAGCAGGGAAGCAGACUCCUUUGCCGCUGCUUUUAGUGUGCCCAGCUGCAUUUGCCCAGUCUGCCCGCCUCUGCGAUCCCCUGCAGCGCCGGCUGGAGCCUCCACCGUGCACCCCUGAGGAUCUGCUGCCGAAGAUGGAAGGAGCGGUGUGGAGAACCGGGAGGCAGGAGCGAAGAUGAAGAGGAAGCAGAAGCCUGCAGAUGCGGGGGGGAAGGAGAGAGGCACCCUGGGCAAAGCAUCUCCCUGCUAGCAGGGGCAUAGUCAAAUUGGAGUUGAGCGUUGCCGGCACCUUGGGUGACCAGGCCGGCUUUGUGCUGGGCGACCUCCCUGUAAGCAGGGCUCCGGUCUUUGCUGUAGUUGUAGUUGGCCUUUUGCCUUCUUGCUCCUUUGGCUGCCUGGGGAGCGUGGCCCCCUGUACGGAGGGCGAGAGCCACCUCUCCGCACCCGAGUGGGAAAUGGAGCUCGCUGGACCCCAGGGCCGCCCUGUAAGCAGGGUAGUGCCUUUCCCUGCCCCUCCUCCUCCGGCCCAUCAGUGCUGUUGCCUGCUGGUGGCCUGUUGAUGCGCCAGCCCUGUACUCGGGGUGCGUGUCGUGGCGUUUGGCCUUUGUCCUUUCUCAAGUAGCCCCUUGUCACGUUGAGGUCUGUGGCCUCCGUGCUGCCCGGGGAUGGGUCCCAGGCUCUUGCCUGUUGCUCGUAGGUGUGGGUUUAUUCCCAGGGCUUGGCUGCGCUGCGUUGUCCUUCCCUUCUGGAAAGUUGCAUCUGUGUGUGUGUUCCCCUUCCUUUCCUUGUUUGUGUUUGUGGAGUGACUGAGCACGUGUGCUUUCCCUUUAGGCCUCCUCAAAGAUUGCUGCAGCUUAGCUGUGACUUCCCAGGGGGGAAUGGAGGACUUUGGUGCAUGCCGCAUGAGGGGUGUUCCCUCUCACCUUAGUCCUGCGAGCGCAGCGGAUGUCCUGUGUGUCCUGUCUCCUUUAUGCUUAGUAGAGAUCUGAGCCACGUGGUAGUUGUGUGGCCAAGGCCACCCUGUAUCCAGGGCUUGGGCCUGUCCUUGCAUGGCCGCCUGUUCUGCUGGCGGCGUGACAGCCCUGUACUCGGGGUGCAUGUCACAAGCCCUCUGUUCCCCUGAGCAGCCCGUCCCCUGUACCCCUAUGCUCCCUGUAAUCAGGGCUGGGGAGGCUGCAGCGCUGCAGCCGGCUGCUUUAGCCAUCCAGCUGGUGGGAGUGACCCCUCCCUGUCCCGUCAGAGGGUGCAGGUUGAGGUGCUGAUUGUGUGUGGGGUGACCUCCCCGCUCGGUGGGUUGAGGUUGCUCUCUGGGCUCCCAAAGAUGUGCUGAUGUUGUGCUGCCGGGCGGGCCAGCCUGUAACUCAGGCAUUGGCGGGAGCCACGUGCUCCGUGGGGCUUCUUGGAGAUAGAUGGUGAGGCGUGGGGCGCCGUCCUGUCGGCAGGGCCGUGCGUGCCCCCUGUGCUUGGUGAGCUGUGUUCUGAGAGAGAGAGACCCCCUGUAGUCAGGCGGGAAUGUGGCCCCGGCCUUUCAGAGGCACGGGGCCGCGAGAUGUGGGGCUGGGCUUGCGCCCUCCCUGGACUUGGGGCUGGCAUCCCGACCGCGGCCUUUGGCCGUGUUGCCCCACUGCCUGGCGGCUCAGAGUUGCUCCUGCUGCUGGGGGGGAAACCGAGCUCUGUGGCUCCAGGGGUGUUGUCUGCCCGCCUGUAGUCAGGGUCUGGGCGUGCGAGCCUCUAUGCUCUGCUGGCAGCCCGUGUGGGGUGACCGCCCUGUUAGCGGGCGGCGGGUCAAAGCGCCCCCGACUGGGAGAGAAGGAGCCUCCCGCGGCCUUAGGGAUGGGGCUGCCCUGUAACUCAGGGAGCGGCUGUGCCCCGCAGUCCCAGGCCCUUUGCCAUGGAGACAGCGGCUGAGGGUCCCCUGUAAGCAGGGAAGCAGACUCCUUUGCCGCUGCUUUUAGUGUGCCCAGCUGCAUUUGCCCAGUCUGCCCGCCUCUGCGAUCCCCUGCAGCGCCGGCUGGAGCCUCCACCGUGCACCCCUGAGGAUCUGCUGCCGAAGAUGGAAGGAGCGGUGUGGAGAACCGGGAGGCAGGAUUGAGCAAGAAGUGGAAGCUUUUUACUGUCUUAUUUCAUGUGAUUCUUUGGUGUUUUGUACCUGCUGUAUGUAGUUGUAUGUGGUACUUGAUUUCUUCUUAUUGCUUGCAUUUUGUCCUAAGAAUAAAAUUUUUGUGCUUGUU
Tympanuchus pallidicinctus (lesser prairie-chicken) is the source of this 8898-nucleotide long non-coding RNA. RefSeq lists it as uncharacterized. The transcript is spliced from 8 exons. Lineage: Eukaryota; Metazoa; Chordata; Aves; Galliformes; Phasianidae. The record is from RefSeq and is a predicted model, not a curated record.